CACGGCGACAGAGAUUGUCCCGUGCCGUACACCGGAGGCAGUGCCGUACUCCUCGUGAUCACGGACCAACGGCGGUUGGAGCGGAGCCACAAGGCAGCGGUGGAAGGUGAGUCGAUGCGGGCCUGUCCUACAUUGACAGCUUACAGCCCUGCUGUGCGGCGCUCCGGUCCGACCGAGGAAGACGGGCAGCCCUUGCCCACCAUGGCGCACGCCGAAUGGCGGGGCCUCCCGACAGGAGCCAACCGUGCGGUGUGGACUGCACGCAGUGCUAACCGUAACGGCGAUCUCGUGGCGGUGAGCGCCACCUGUGUGCCAGUGCCGUUGGGAUUUAGAC
This 334-nucleotide unclassified non-coding RNA is filed under the name Spongia sp. QM G324326. RNAcentral describes it as "sequence contains 28S rRNA gene". Lineage: Eukaryota; Metazoa; Porifera; Demospongiae; Dictyoceratida; Spongiidae. The record is from RNAcentral.